Molecule: ribosomal RNA, 900 nt
Filed under: Mallocybe siciliana
Lineage: Eukaryota; Fungi; Basidiomycota; Agaricomycetes; Agaricales; Inocybaceae
Description: partial large subunit ribosomal RNA
Rfam family: Eukaryotic large subunit ribosomal RNA
Source: RNAcentral
CCCUAGUAACUGCGAGUGAAGCGGGAAAAGCUCAAAUUUAAAAUCUGACAGUUGUUCUGRCUGUCCGAGUUGUAAUCUAGAGAAGUGUUACCCGUGCUGGACCGUGUACAAGUCUCCUGGAAUGGAGUAUCAUAGAGGGUGAGAAUCCCGUCUUUGACAUGGACUACCAGGGCUUUGUGGUGCGCUCUCAAAGAGUCGAGUUGUUUGGGAAUGCAGCUCAAAAUGGGUGGUAAAUGCCAUCUAAAGCUAAAUAUUGGCGAGAGACCGAUAGCGAACAAGUACCGUGAGGGAAAGAUGAAAAGAACUUUGGAAAGAGAGUUAAACAGUACGUGAAAUUGCUGAAAGGGAAACGCUUGAAGUCAGUCGCAUCGACUGGAAAUCAACCUUGCUUUUGCUCGGUGUAUUUUCUGGCUUGAUGGGUCAGCAUCAAUUUUGGUCGCUGGAUAAAGGCUUGGGGAAUGUGGCAUCUUAGGAUGUGUUAUAGCCCUUGGUUGCAUACAGCGGUUGGGAUUGAGGAACUCAGCACGCCGCAAGGCCGGGUCGUUUUACGACCACGUUUACGUGCUUAGGAUGCUGGCAUAAUGGCUUUAAUCGACCCGUCUUGAAACACGGACCAAGGAGUCUAACAUGCCUGCGAGUGUUUGGGUGGAAAACCCAUGCGCGCAAUGAAAGUGAAAAGUUGAGAUCCCUGUYGUGGGGAGCAUCGACGCCCAGACCAGACCUUUUGUGACGGAUCUGCGGUAGAGCAUGUAUGUUGGGACCCGAAAGAUGGUGAACUAUGCCUGAAUAGGGUGAAGCCAGAGGAAACUCUGGUGGAGGCUCGUAGCGAUUCUGACGUGCAAAUCGAUCGUCAAAUUUGGGUAUAGGGGCGAAAGACUAAUCGAACCAUCUAGUAGCUGG